UAUUGGACAAUGGGCGCAAGCCUGAUCCAGCCAUGCCGCGUGAGUGAUGAAGGCCUUAGGGUUGUAAAGCUCUUUUAGCGGAGACGAUAAUGACGGUAUCCGCAGAAAAAGCCCCGGCCAACUUCGUGCCAGCAGCCGCGGUAAUACGAAGGGGGCUAGUGUUGCUCGGAAUCACUGGGCGUAAAGCGCACGUAGGUGGGUCGUUAAGUCGGGGGUGAAAUCCCGGAGCUCAACUCCGGAACUGCCUUCGAUACUGGCGACCUUCGAGUCCGGGAGAGGUGAGUGGAACUGCGAGUGUAGAGGUGAAAUUCGUAGAUAUUCGCAAGAACACCAGGGCGAAGGCGGCUCACGGCCAGGGUACGACACUGAGGUGCGA
Molecule: ribosomal RNA, 376 nt
Filed under: uncultured bacterium
Lineage: Bacteria
Description: bacterial SSU rRNA
Rfam family: Bacterial small subunit ribosomal RNA
Source: RNAcentral